CUACGGGCCGCAGCAGGCGAGAAAACUUUGCAAUGUGCGAAAGCACGACAAGGUUAAUCCGAGUGGUUUGUGCUAAACGAACCUUUUGACAGUCCUAGAAACACUGUUGAAUGAGGGGUGGGCAAGUUCUGGUGUCAGCCGCCGCGGUAAAACCAGCACCUCAAGUGGUCAGGAUGAUUAUUGGGCCUAAAGCAUCCGUAGCCGGCUCUGUAAGUUUUCGGUUAAAUCUGUACGCUCAACGUACAGGCUGCCGGGAAUACUGCAGAGCUAGGGAGUGGGAGAGGUAGACGGUACUCGGUAGGAAGGGGUAAAAUCCUUUGAUCUAUUGAUGACCACCUGUGGCGAAGGCGGUCUACCAGAACACGUCCGACGGUGAGGGAUGAAAGCUGGGGGAGCAAACCGGAUUAGAUACUUGUAGUC
Molecule: ribosomal RNA, 420 nt
Filed under: uncultured archaeon
Lineage: Archaea
Description: partial 16S ribosomal RNA
Rfam family: Archaeal small subunit ribosomal RNA
Source: RNAcentral